RNAcentral lists this ribosomal RNA (427 nucleotides) under uncultured bacterium. Its description in RNAcentral is "bacterial SSU rRNA". It matches the Rfam family "Bacterial small subunit ribosomal RNA", at positions 355 to 774 of the family's 1533-position model. The record is from RNAcentral.
UGGGGAAUUUUGGACAAUGGGCGCAAGCCUGAUCCAGCCAUGCCGCGUGCAGGAUGAAGGCCUUCGGGUUGUAAACUGCUUUUGUACGGAACGAAAAGGUGCCUUCUAAUAAAGGGCGCUCAUGACGGUACCGUAAGAAUAAGCACCGGCUAACCACGUGCCAGCAGCCGCGGUAAUACGUAGGGUGCGAGCGUUAAUCGGAAUUACUGGGCGUAAAGCGUGCGCAGGCGGUUUUGUAAGACAGAGGUGAAAUCCCCGGGCUUAACCUGGGAACUGCGUUUGUGACUGCAAGGCUGGAGUACGGCAGAGGGGGGUGGAAUUCCACGUGUAGCAGUGAAAUGCGUAGAGAUGUGGAGGAACACCGAUGGCGAAGGCAGCCCCCUGGGCCUGUACUGACGCUCAUGCACGAAAGCGUGGGGAGCAAACA